GUUAUAGGGUCAAGUGACUAAGUGCAUGUGGUGGAUGCCUUGGCGAUUACAGGCGACGAAGGACGUGAUAGCCUGCGAUAAGCUUCGGGGAGCUGGCAAAUUAGCUUUGAUCCGGAGAUUUCCGAAUGGGGAAACCCACCUCGUAAGAGGUAUUGCAUGCUGAAUACAUAGGCAUGCAAGGCGAACCGGGCGAACUGAAACAUCUCAGUAGCUCGAGGAAAAGACAUCAACCGAGAUUCCGAAAGUAGUGGCGAGCGAAAUCGGAGUAGCCCUCGUGUUUUAGCAGUUGGCAUAUCAGAACGGAAUGGAAAGUCCGGCCAUAGCGGGUGAUAGCCCCGUAUGAGAAAUGUCGAUUGUGGAACUAGGCACGAAAAGAGUAGGGCGGGACACGUGAAAUCCUGUCUGAACAUGGGGGGACCAUCCUCCAAGGCUAAAUACUCGUAAUCGACCGAUAGCGAACAAGUACCGUGAGGGAAAGGCGAAAAGAACCCCGGGAGGGGAGUGAAAUAGAUCCUGAAACCGCAUGCAUACAAAAAGUAGGAGCCCU
This 547-nucleotide ribosomal RNA is filed under the name Roseateles terrae. RNAcentral describes it as "bacterial LSU rRNA". It matches the Rfam family "Bacterial large subunit ribosomal RNA", at positions 1 to 583 of the family's 2925-position model. The record is from RNAcentral. Lineage: Bacteria; Pseudomonadati; Pseudomonadota; Betaproteobacteria; Burkholderiales; Sphaerotilaceae.